UUUUUAACAUAUAUGAGAAUAGUAAGCUUUAAAAGGAAAUAUAGGUGUGGGCAUUCUCCAUUUACCUUGGAUACAAAAUAGAUUUUCAGCCUUUGAUGAAAAGAACAGGCAGUGCCCCAUUCCAAGGAAAGAGUGUGAAAUCAGAGAGAGAACUCUGAAAAAAAGCUCCUGCUUACCCCCCAUUCUAAUCAGAAUGUUUUUAAACAAGCUGCCCUGAUAUUAAGUGACAGAGCAAAGUCACUGCUUUUAUGAAAAGUGGCGCGAGAAGGUGAGGGACACCUCUAAGGAAAAAGGGCCUUUGCCAUUAAUAAUUAUCUAUAAGGAACAAAUAGUGCCUGGGAAGUGGGGCUGGAUUCAGAGAAAUAGAAAUCUAAAACAUUAGGGCAGACCUCUGCUUUUUCAUGAGAUAUUGCUGAUGCUGAAUGCAUAUUUCCAACGAGAACAAAGCUGAUAACAAAGCCAUCUUGCACGCAUCCAUUCUGGAAUAUUAAAGAGAAAUGUCUCCCAUGUUAUUAAGCCACUUAUAAUUAUUUCUGACAUGUCAAAAAUACUGAGGAUACAGAGAAUAGUCGAAGAUUAGGGGUUAACAUUUUUUUAAUGUGAUGUCAGUCUUCAAAGAAUUGAACAAGUGGCCCCAGAAAUGAUCAUUUCUUUAAGUAUGACACUGCCACUUAAUAAACCAGCAGAGAAAAUAUUGGAAGGAAUUCUGUCAACAUUCUGAGACUAGUGUAAUUUUGAACAAUCAAGCAUAAUGGCAAGAUCAAGCCUCGUGUCAGGCUGUAUGACUUGUAAUUCUGUGAAAUUAUAAAACUUGUGAACAAAAGGGAAUGAGAAAUAUGUAACUAUGGAAUGGAGGUAAAGAAUCAGGAAGCAUGAAAUUCCAGUUCUGUCCCCUCUGACCUUACUGAUAUGCAAAUUGGCUCAUUAUGUCAAAUCGGCCGAGUUGAAACAAUAAAGGUUUCCUAAGAAAAGAAUUUCCAGUUUUACCACAGAAAAAGAUAAGUUUUGCAUUUGGAAUGUCUGAAAGCAUCUGAAGUGUUGUCUCAUUAAAAUUUAUGAUCAGAAUUAAUUCACAUUCAUUUUGUUAAGAGCCAAAUCACCUGGGUUGAAUUUGUGUGGGGAAUCUUAAAAAUAGAUAAUAAGAAGUGACAGCGGGUCUGCGGAGUGGCCAGUGAGGACCACUCAUAAAUCUGAUUUUUUUCUUUUUCUUUUGUUAACUUUCCAUUUGGCGUUUAGCGAUUGGUGUUGGGGAAUCAAUGUCAUUUAUUGGCAUUUGCGUUUGUUAUGAAAUAAGUAGAAUCUUUUUUUUUUUUAAAUAAGUAGAAUCCUUUAUAAAUCACUCAGGUUGAAGGAUUUUAACAGCCUUAAAUAAGACCCAAACAUGUGGCAAUAAGAGAAAAUAAGACUGCUGGAAGAAAAUAAUAAUUUUGUGCCUGGUACUGUGCUCAGGUGACUUAAUGAUGCCCGCAGACAGAAAGCCUGAGCAUGGAAUGGAUACCCUUCCCACAAAGUUGCUGAAAUGGUCUGUUUCCUUUGCUAUGGAUGGCUCAUCAUCUCAAGUGAGAGACCAGAUUGUGCUGUUAGGCUCCAAAUUGUCCCCUAUUCUCCACAUCCUCUUGGUGGCAAAGGGCUGAGCAGAGCAUUUCCUCUUCAUUCCCUUGUUGUCCGCGUAGAUAAUUCCUAGUGGAGGAUGCUGGCAUCUCUUGCCAGUAAAAGUCGCCGCGCAUUUCCUGGCCCUCCAUUUCCCUUCUAACUGAAUUACUAUCAGGAAAUGUACUUCUUCUCUAACACUUUAACCACCUUCUUCUACCUCCAUGAGUUCUAAUCCUAGAACCAUCCCUCACUUGAUAAUACUAUAGGCAGAUGAGUAUUUCUGGAACACACCUCGCUCAUCUACAGAACCAGAGGCUAAUUAUUGUUAAAAUCUCAUUUCAGAAUGAAAGUCAGCUGCCCUGGGGAGUUUAGGAGUCCCUUCUGAAUGUUGAUGGCAGUAAGCUUUCAUGGGCACAGAUGUAGGAUUAAAAAUGGAGAUUUUGUGGGCUUUCUUUCACCAUUCCAUUUUCUGUCUACUUUCUUUAUGCCACACGAGGCUGCACAUUGACCUCUCUAUUCAAAAAUUUAAAUCUUGACGGGGAUGCUACACUAGACAUUAGUACUUCCUUCCCCUCUGGAUCACCAUGGAAUAUGCCAUCUCUGAGGUACUGGGACAUGAGUCAAAGAUUCUUCUCCUCAAGUGGUUCCCAAGUCCCACGGCACCUGAACCACAAAAAGGUAGUUCUGUGCAUCCUGGGAGUCUACAGGCAGAAGUUUGAGCUUUACCCAGAAUAGCUUCUCUCUGGUUCUUCUGCUGGGCCUCCAGGCUUCUCACUCUCUCUCUGGUGACAGUGUCCAUUUUAGAACCAAAAAGAAGAAAAGUUUCAAUCUGUUCUUUCUGCUUUGUAUAACACUUACCAAAUAGCUCAGUGCAGGUGGGUACUCAGUGAGUCGUUUUCCUCUAAUACUUGUGUUACCCUCUCUUUGCAAUGGAAAUGUCUAUUUCAGGUUCCUAAGCAGCCAUUUGUAAAUCACCCAUGUGCCCUCAAAGAGUUGGGACUUAACCAUAAGCCUAAGCUUUUAGAAUAAAGAGAAGGUAAAGGAGCGAAGAAAGAAACAGACAAGCUGAAUAUGUGGAUAGUUUUACUACUGUUGAAGUGCACAAUUGUUAAAAUUGCAUCCCUGCUGUCCAGGUCUGUCCAGAUCAAUUUCACUUCAGCAACUCUGGGCAGAAAUCUGGAUUGUGUUAUAAAAAACAAAUAAUUAAGCAAGCAAUCCUUUUAUGUUACUUAGAACUUUACUAUAUAGAAAAAUCUAUUCCUGGCUUUUGAGGUAAGUGUCUGACAACAUUGUUAGCUCUGAUGACUUUUUGAGUAGUUCUGUCAUAUUCUGUGAUUUGCCUGAGCUCUUGCAACAUAAAGGGGAAUAAAAUUAUUUGUGGGAUCUGUCACAGUGAAUUUUUAAAGCCAAAUUGUCCCCAGGCUGAAAGGGUUUCCUGUGACUACAACUGAUUUUCCUAAAAUCCAUGUUAAGACUUGCAAACCUAAAUGACAAAACUUUUGAUUGUUAGUGCUUGGUGGCCGCUGAAGGCUAUAGGCUUAGUUGCAGCCACAAACUAGAUGUAAUAAAAGCAAUGACAUGUAUUUAUUGAGUGCUUGGUUGAAUCAUUUUACGUGGAUUAGUUUGUUUAAUCCUCAUAACUCUAAGCAAUAGUACUAUUUUUAUUCCCAUUUUAUAGAUGAGGAAUCUAAGUCAUGGAAAAAACUACUUGCCCAACUUGUAGCAUCAGGAUUUGACCUGAGGAGGCCUGAUUCCAUGAGGCAACAAUUAGGUACAUGCUCUAUUCAAAGCCCCUAUUUAAUUAACAAUUUUUAUACUAGCAUUUUAUUCCUUAUUUGUUAUUUUCCACAUUCAGUAAGCAUCCUCCAGAAUUUAAGUUUCAAAGGAGUAAAUGGUGGGGGGCCUGGGUGGCUCAGUUGGUUGAGCUUCUGACUCUUGAUUUCUGCUCAGGUCCUGAUGUCACAAUUUGUGAGAUCGAGCCCCGGGUCGGUCUCUGUGCUGUCAGUGUGGACCCUGCUUGGGAUCCUCUCUCUCCCUCUCUGUCUCUCUCCUGCUUAUGCUCUCUCUCUCUCUCAAAACAAAUAAAUAAACAUUAAAAAACAAAUUAAGGAGUAAAGCGUAUCCUGAAAUGAUGAUCAGUGAGAACUGAUUUUGCUUCUGACUACAUCUAACUUAUUCUGAAAGAAGGAGAUAAUGGCUCAAUAUGGAACAAAAUGCCUGUGAAGAAGAAGCAGAAAAUGAGCCAAGGGGCCAGAGCAGUUCAUAGAGCAAAGCUUUUAGUUCCAGGCAAAUUAAUUCCACGCAUAUAGGAAAGAAAGUACCAAUUUAAAGGAAUCACCGUUUGAUAUAAAUCCCUGUCCAUAAUACAUCAGUUUGGCUAGCAUGGCUGGGCAAGGAGAAGAGCAGCCAAGUAAAAGCAUAGACUCUGGAGCCAGACUCUCUGGAUUCAAAUCCUAGCCCCACCACUUUCUAACCAUGUGAUCCAGGGCAAGUCCCUCCUUGCCUCUUUGACUCUGUGUUCUUAUCUGUAAAAGAAUGAUAACAGUACUUGCCUUAUAGGGUAGUCAUGGGGAUUCAACGAGAUCAUGUAUAUAAGGCAUGUAGAACGGUGCCCAGCAUAUACUAAGUACCAGAAGGAUGUUUGCUUUAUAUGUCCUUAUGAGGUACUCAGUGUAUGACCAAGAUACAGACAGUGGUUUUAUAUUUAGACAUUCUUAGGGCUUUCAUAUAGGAAAAGGACACAGUAGAUUUGAUUCAUCUUAGAUGCACUUUGCUAAAUAAAGUAAUUUUUAGAUCACCUAGAUUUAUUUUAGUUUUAGAAUUUGAGUGUUAAUUUGUAAGGUCAAUCAACUAACCUGUUGCCAUGACUCAGUCCGAAGGUGGAAUUUUGCUCCCAGCAAAAGGGGAUUUAGCAUAUAAAUUGAACGAUUAUCAAACAGAGACAGACUGGCCACUAUCUUGAAAAUGGGAGUGGCAAAAAUGGGUGAUAAUGCUGCCUGCAAAAUCCAAGGGAUUAGGGAAACCAACCAGGGUUUAGAGUUUGACGUAGCAAAUGUAUUUUGAGGUGAUAUUGAUAGAAAUAAAGUGUAGCUCAUAGAUUAUAGUCUGGAUAGACUUCCGCACAUUUAAAUCUUCCCUCCUGCUUUCUUCAAAGAGUUGGAAUGGAUGGUCCGUGACAAAGCCUUCCAUGGAGGUAAGAGAGGCUUUAUUCCUUCAAGGCAAUUUGGUCCAACUCUGCUAGUUCACCCAUGGGGGAAGCCUGGCAAAAUUCCAAAGGUGAUUAGUGUUGUAUCUAUUAUUUCACAGGGUGGAGUGUGUUUGGGUAGAUGGAGGGAGAAACCUAUAAUUUCAUAGCUGCUGGUUGAACAUUUCUGCUAAACUUCUUUUUAUUUUAAAAAUUGGUGAAAAGAUCUCAACAUUCAAGAUGAUACGAGGUCAUUGAACUAUCCCCAGAAUAGAACGUACCCACAGUGGUUGCUAAAUCUUGGUGUGGUGCAGGUUGGAAGUCUCUAAAAUAUUUCCUGCAAAAUAUGAGUUACUGUUUUGGCCCAUUUUUCUGGGAGAUCUAAGUCAACUUUUUAAUUACUUGAAGUCUGAAGGUUUUCCCCCAUAAAUAGAAAAUCAGAAGUGAAAGCUUAACCUAGACCUUUUAGGAAAAAAGGUUGCAUUUUAAAAUCAUGCCACCGCUGUCUUGUUUGGGAAGAGUUCAAGUUGGGUCCAAUCAAAUGUUGAGUCAUCAACUAUUUCAAUGCCCAUAUUCAUCAUGCCUAAGAAAUAUAAGCAUUCUUAUUUUUUUAAUAGGCUCUUUGAAUCAUAUUCUAAAUGAGUGCCAUGUAAAUAAAUUAGCACAACAAUCACGCCAUGCUUUUUUGUCAUCAGGGGUCAUUUUCAUCGGAUGCUUAGUGAUUUCAUUGCACUUGUGUAAUCAGGUGAAGAAGCUCCACCGGAGCAUCCAUGGGUCAGCUAUGUAGACUCUAGCUGCCAAAGGCGCUUCUCCUUCUGAACAGAGCGCUUUGCUCAGCCAGUGUAGACAUGGCCUGAUAAACAAUGGAACUUCUCCCUUGAGCUGGAGUUUGGAUUGAUCUAAUUCUUUAACUCAAACAUGUGCACAGGUUUGAUGAGUGUUUAAAUGCCUGCAUUUUAGUAAAACAGGAACUUAAAUUGACAGUAAUGUGAGGAAUCGCAUAAUUUAUAAUGAACUUGAAAGGCAGGAGCACUCACUGUUGCUCAAGCUAAUCAAGGGACUAUCAAAUCAAGGGUUUAACAUGAGCUUAAAUAUAUGUGGCAGGAGGGUUGUUCUUGCAGGCUUACAUCUGUCAGAUCUUAACACUAAACCUGUCAGGGUGCAACAUGGCCGUGUCACUUUUAACCAAGAUGUCACAUAUAUUGUGAGAAACAACCUGCUUUGUGUUUUCUUCUCUGGGAUUUUACUGGGAAAAGCAAAUGUAAAAGGGAUUUUUUUUUUAACACUGCAUUUUUAUUUUGCAGAUUCUCAGGCUGAUGGAGAGAGUGACGAGCGGGUUGCCAGCUAUAGUCAGCGUGCACAAUGGCUGCAGGGGAAUAUAUUCAGACAUGCCCAAGGAGGUCUGCCCAGGGGGAAACACAUACCUUUGAGGUUUAAAUCAGAAAGGAAGGAGAGGCUGUUUCUACAGGUGUCAUAGAAAAAUCAAUAUUGAGCCACGGAUUAUUGGAUCCCAUAGAACCAUGGAGACUUGGCAGUGAAAUUCUUCCAAAGGCAGACGGUGUUCCUAGGUUUGGAAGGAUAAAUCCCAGGGGAAGUGAGCUGAAGAACAUUUCAUGCAUCACUCAUCCUAUUAUGAGCCCUGUGCUGUUCCAUCUCUCUACAAGGCUGGCUGAAACAACAACAGAAAUUGGUGUGUAAUUCGUAUUCUAACUUUGGAUCACCUGGUUAAUACUCUGACUACCCAAAAAGACAAUGUUCUAUAAGAAGAACUAUCUGUUAAAAGGCCUGCUGCUGCAUUAUUAAUAAAAUAACAGGGAAAAUGCGAUAAUCUGGAUGUCCCAUCUGAUGAGGUAAGGUUUUAUCAUGUCCCAUAAAAUGAGAUUACAUUUGAUUUUAUUUAUCAUUAUCCCAGCCCCAAGAAAGUUUGCAUUUGUCAAUUUGACACAGAAAUCUGUAAUAUAAAGCUUAAUAUACACUAUCUAAACUGCGACCAAUUUCAGGCAUUAAAAGCCAGGCUAUUUAAUGUAUUUUAUUUAUGUGUAAAUUACAUUGUCGUUGCUGUUUUUCUAUCCUUUUCAGCUUGGAAAAUUGUAACUCAGUAUAUCACACAACAUACUUCAAUAAAAAUAAAUUGUGUAUAUUAUAGUUCUGAUGGGGGGCAAAGGCAUACUAUUUUACUGACCUUUGGUGAGGUUUCACUUUUGAUGUGUGAAUUUUUAAAUGUGAACAAACCAAAAACAGUGGCAUACUUGGAAGUAAUCUAAAGCUAAAAUGGGAAGUGAAGAUUUUGUGGUAAGUGCCAGCCUCCUGUUUGCUAUUGCCAUACUUCAGCAUCCACCUGAGAAGAAAAAAAAGUACAAAAGACAAUGGAGAGAUGAUGGAGGAGCUGGGCAUAUGGAAAGUUCCAGGUGCCUGUGGAUACAAUAUGAGGAUACUCAAAUAUCUAGUCCUCUUUUUUUGAUACCUAUCCUGUAAUCCAUCAGAGUGGCCAGGUGCUCUCUUUGUAGUUCAAAAAUAUUAGUGUUUUCAACAUCAGUGCCCAUUAUGGCUAUACCAAAAUCCCCUUCUAUGUGUAAAAUAUAUCUUACCCAUAUCUGAGCAACAUGAUUGUAGCCCUUCUCUCUUUAGGUUAAGCACAUUGUAUGACUUCUCUUAAAAUGUUGCAAAGAUGAAUUUCCACUAGAUAAUUUGUAGUUGGUAAAAUAUCAUGAAUUUUUCAGGGGAAAAGUGGCAAUUAAUGGAAACAUAAUUAUCUUCAAUGUGAAAAUAGUCUAGGAUGCUAACUUUGGCGAGCACAAUGUCUCUAACUCAUUAUCAUUUUCUUUGCUUAUUUUGUUGUCAUUCUUCGGGUUCUUUCUGGAUCCAUCUCUCUUUUGUUUCCCUUCGACUCCUCUAUUGUAUUCCAGUUGGCAGUUAAAGAACCGAAACAGCAAUAAGACUGCGCAGCCACAUUUUCCCAGUGCCACCAACUGGGCGUUAAGCUGACUAACGUUUUGAAAGCCCAGCCCAUUUCGUUCACAGCAGGCAAGGCAGCGGUUGACUGAUUGUACCCGCCAGCUGGCUAAUAUCAUAAUUAACAAAGUUGCUACUACAUCUGCAAAGUUUAAUCGAAAAACUUGCCAGUGAUAUGAUGGCAUUGUCACAAAGAUCACAAGGGACACGGAGUUGACUUUUGCUCAAGGUGGAAUGGCAAAGCUGUAUGGGCAAGAUGAGAAAUCGUGCACUUGUUCAGCCAAAGGUUAUGCUUCAUAUCACCCACCGGGGAGGAUCAUCUCUCAUGAAAAUUUCCAAAUUUGAUUUUGAAAAUUAUUCAGAAAAAUUUAAGCCACGCUAUCUCCCACUGUAGGAAAGAAUAUACUCUGGAGGUUCCUAUAAUUCAAAGAAAAUGGACUGGGAUAACAUUUGGGUUUGCAUGCCACCAAAAUCCUCUCGAGAAGGACAUCCAGGUUUUGCUAAAGGAUCACACUGUGGAAUCUACAACCGUGACAAACUUCUGCACUUACUGCCCCUUGAAAAACAAAAUAUUGGCAUGGGAAGGAGGCUAAUAAUGAAGGGCCGGGGAAGGAGGCCAGUGCUAGGAGGGUUAUCUCACUGCCUCAGAUGCUGGAUAAGUCGAAGGAAGCAGAAUCGCUUUUGGAUGACAUUCAGAAAGGCCGGAGUGAUUAUUUGGGAGAGAAAAGCCUGCCUAUUCUUUUCCAAGGUGCGUGACUGUUCCCCUGGCCUGCCCAUCCACUGAUGAAUUAUUAGCAACGUGCCUUAGACAAAGGACGCACGGGAGCCCCACCACACCUAGAGCCACGCUUUGAAGGAUCUGCCACGCUCCCUUUUAAUCAUGCGAAAGAAAUUACCCACAUGGAGUCAGCAGAAAAUGAGAAAGUAGAGCUCGUGCUGCGAAUAAUUCCAGCAAGUGCCAAGGGGCUAGUUGAGGAAUGGCUUCAUGAAGUGAAUAUCUUUAGCUUGUACUUAGGGUUUGGUUAGCGUAUAAUCAUUUUCUCUUUUAGGAGCGUUGACUAUCCUCAGUGUCUUUCCUCACUAAAGAGUGCUCAGAGCAUUCGUCAGGAUGUUGACAGAUUUAAUAUCAGUCUCGUCCUUGUUGUUAUUUACUAUGACUAAUUUUACAUGUGCAGAUAUGCAAAAAUCAAUUUAGGCGGAGAGGCGCUCCGGAGCCAACGACUGUUAACCGCUGUAUUUGUGUGUGUCUCGCUUGCGAGUGGAUGUCCAGUAAUUUCUGUCUCUGUGUGUGUACGUGCCCUUGUUCUUGUCUUCUCUCCGUUGUGCCAUAGGUUGGGAGGUUUGGCCAGCCAAUGCCUGCUCAGAUGUGGUCUGAGGCUUUCAUCUGAUUUUUGGACCAGGAAAAAAAGAAUGUGUCACAUCAUGAUUAAUGGUCAAUCUGAAUUUUCAAUUCAUAUGAAAGGAGAAGGGGGAGGAGGAUAUGAGCCCAGUGAUGAGACUAACCUUUUCCCUUUGGGAAGAGCAUGAUUCAAAUUAAACAUCACUUUCAGUGUGAAAUUAGUUUGAAGGCUUCUUUUUUUUUCUCCCCCCCCCCCCCGUGCCUGGUUUAACUCCAUGGUGGCUGCUCCUGCAGAGAGGACCCUUCCAUCCGGCCUCUGUGCCCGAAUCUGUUCCCAGUAGGCCAUAGUUCCUCUUCUUUUGUUUUAUUUUUCUAAAGACCAGGUCCAAGAAACCAAAAAAAAAAAAAAAAAAAAAAAAAAAGAAUAUUUUACUAUAAAAGCAUCAUUAUUCACAAGAUAAGAUUUUCCCCAAAACAUGUUAUUUCUUUGUGUCCCACUUAUGUUUCCAAAAAAGAAAAAUAAAUAAACAAACAAAUAAGUAAACAUGUAAAUAAUGUUCUUCUUUUGAGGAUAAUUUUGCCAGGGAGGAGGAAAAGGGAAAGCGAGGGAUCCUUUCCAAAGACCUUUGAGUGCCCUCUGCUUUAUGCCAGUUUCUGCUAGCUGAGUGAGCCACAUUGGAGAACAGCAGCCCCAAACCCCAAGCUUUCCCUCAGUUCUCUAGUUCCCCACGUAACCGAGUCACAGGAUCGCCAUGUCAACCUGCAGCAGCUCUGGCUUCAAGCAAGCAUAUGCCGGGACAGUCUGAAAAUACCCUUCAGUACCUACCAGAGACUCAGGCCCAAGCUUGUAGAAAGAACCCACUGUCCAUGGAAACGCUGGGCUGCUUGCCCACCCGUGCACAUUCUGGAUGCCACAGUUAGGCGUCAUCAGGAUUUGAUGUUCCAUUGAUGCUCUUUCUGGAAUUUGGUGGCUUGUAGAGAAAGGACAAGUAUAGAAAAGGCCAAGAGACAGGCUCGUUCUUCCAUGUCUUUUCAAAAAGAAGAUGCUAGGGCUUUGUAAUCCCUUUCCUACAGGA
Neofelis nebulosa (Clouded leopard) is the source of this 10144-nucleotide long non-coding RNA. RefSeq lists it as uncharacterized. NCBI's taxonomy places the organism in Eukaryota, Metazoa, Chordata, Mammalia, Carnivora, Felidae. The record is from RefSeq and is a predicted model, not a curated record. The transcript has 9 exons.